CCUGAAGCACGUAGGAGAUGCAAGGGUAAAGCUCCGCAACCGCAGUGUUGCAGGAAACGGCUGCUUCACCAAAGUGCAAAGCAAGAACCAGGCACACGGCUAGUAAGAGAGAUCUCAUGUUACUUUCUGUUUUUUUUUUUUUUUUUUGUUUAAAUUGUUUGUUGUUGUGGUGUGUGUUGUGGUUAGGGUUAGAGAAUUGAGAGGUUAUUUAUACAUUGAAAGAGUUUGGGGUUGGCAGUUGAGGAGGAGUGAUUGCUAGGACACGAGUGUUAGUGUUAGUUGUGGAUGAAUUUAAUGUUUACCUUCAGCCAAUUAAAGAUCCAACCCUCCGGAGAUUCAAUUGCAUUCUUCUAUAUAUCUAACCAAUUUCUAAUAAAAAUAUACAUUUACGCAUUCGUAUCGUUUUUACCUAUCUAAAGUCAUAUUGCUUAAUCAAUUCAAAAGGCCUACUAAAUUAAAUACUGAUACCAACUAUAAUAAGACGUUGAGUAAUCACUAAUCCAUUAAGAGAAAAUUUGGCAUCUUAGAUCUAUCUAAAUACACAAACCAAUAACACCCCUUUGUUAUAGCCUAUCUAUCAAAAUUCAUCGGUAAUAUGUCUAUAAAAAGAAAAUGUCAUUACUCGUGACUCGUGAGGAUUAGAAUUUAACUCGAUUGACAUCGGAAUGUUUGUGAGUCUAAUUAUAGUUGAUAUAUAGUAUGCGAUUUCAUGCUAUUUUGAAAUGCUGAUAUGAUUGAUCUCCACCGGCCACCAAACCUGACCGACCAGGUUUUGAAAUGCUGGCCGUUUAAUACAUAAGCUUAUUUUUGAAUGUUUUAAAAAAUUCAAAUAUUUAAAAUAGCUUUUGACAAAUUAAUGACACUAUGCUCCUGUAUAAAUUUUGGAGACGGUGUAACUCCUUACUCCUAUAAAAAAACAUUGACGACGACAUAUUGAAACUAGUACUAGAUAGCGACAAUUCUAAGGCGAUGGAUACUGAGUCAUAUGGCAGGCAGCUCAUGGUGCAUUCAACUCUAGUUUGGUUCGUACGUUUUGUCUUUAAAAGUAGUUACAACAGCACAAAGACGAAGGAGCAUCUUCGAGAUAGUACUACGAGCUGUGGUGAAUUGAUUGUCAAUAAAACCGUUUUCGUUGGUUUCCAACACGUAAACUACUAAUACUUUUCUCUAUCUUGAGUAGC
Molecule: long non-coding RNA, 1181 nt
Filed under: Capsella rubella
Lineage: Eukaryota; Viridiplantae; Streptophyta; Magnoliopsida; Brassicales; Brassicaceae
Description: long non-coding RNA (CRUB_LNC003548)
Source: RNAcentral